GUUGGUGGUCAUUGUUAUUUUUUCCCCGUCCCUUUCCGAACCCGGAAGCUAAGCCCGAUUGCGCUGAUGGUACUGCACCUGGGAGGGUGUGGGAGAGUAGGUCGCCGCCAACC
This 113-nucleotide ribosomal RNA is filed under the name Corynebacterium diphtheriae. Lineage: Bacteria; Bacillati; Actinomycetota; Actinomycetes; Mycobacteriales; Corynebacteriaceae. The record is from RNAcentral.